Anas platyrhynchos (mallard) is the source of this 2526-nucleotide long non-coding RNA. RefSeq lists it as uncharacterized. Lineage: Eukaryota; Metazoa; Chordata; Aves; Anseriformes; Anatidae. The record is from RefSeq and is a predicted model, not a curated record.
AAGAGGCUGCCAGGCACACUUGCUGGGUGCAUUUGGAGCUCACCCCCAGCAGCUGAGGCUGAAAACUCCUCUGGGAGGUGUGCAGCAGAGGGGAGCACAUGGACAAGCUCCGUGCUGCAGGGAUGAUCCACCUGAACUGCUCCUAAAGGGAAUCCUUGGCAGGUUGGGGCAUGGGAAGAGCUCCCUCCUGCAGCUGUGACAUGGCCAUGGGGCUGGGAGAGCUGAAGGGAGAAGUGCUGGGGUUCGGAUGGUGCUGGAGAUGUGAGGCUGGACGUGAUGCACAGGUCCUCUGCUGCUUCUGGCACCUCGUCUGGACAGCCUGGCUUGUGCCCGUACUUCCAGCUUCCUCCAGAGGAGACAAAGCUGCAAAACGAUGCUUCGGAGAGCUGGGUUUGCACAGGGGAUGUACAUUUGCCCAGGGAUGUGCCGCAGCUCCCUGUGCAGAUGGCUCUGAGCUUGGUGCCGUGCCAGGGGCUGAUCCUGACUGCAGAUCACCCCAAAAUACACCUCAGCCUUCCUGGCCACCAGCCCCGGCACGGUGAUAGCCCAGCAACCUGGAGCUCUGUGCAACAGGGAUAAAACCCACCGAGGACCAGGAAUGUUCCCGUGCAGUGAGCACAAGGCAGUGCUACCACCACGUGCACCAGAAAUGAGCAAGCAACUUGAGGCUGGAGUGGCAGAAAAAAAGGACAGCAUCAAAAUGACCUCCUUACUGAGACCACCAGAGCAGGCAGGUUAUACAGCGCUCGUUGCUGGAGCAAAGCAGCGGCUUUUCCUUCCUCGUUCUUCCGGCUUCCCUCCCCUCUGAGUAAAGUUUAAGUUCUCGUAUGAGUUUAAAACAUUAUUGCUGGAAAGAGGCUGCCUCCUGUAUCGCAAAGGAAGAGCCGCAUGUCGGUGCAAAGCAUGGGUGCCACCACACGAGCACAGCACUCGGAGCGCUGCAGCCUUCAUCCCCGGCAGCACGAGCCAGGUGAAGCGGUGCUUCAGGAGCCUUCACCUGCACCUGGCAGCCAAAAGCAGAAAUCAGCCUCCAGAUGGGGGCUGGCUGCUUUUCUCUGACAAAAGGAGGAAAAGGAGGCAUGCUGUUAUAACAUAAAAAGAUGAUGGGCAUCGAGGGCUCCGCUCGUUUUUCCAUCAGAAAUUUAGCUUCUGUCCAGUCAGCAAAGUGAGUAAGGACUGGCAGAACAGUGUAAAUGCAUCCAAAAAGCUAAAAUCCUAUAUGCUGUGCAACCAGACUAGUAAGGUUCAUGGUGUAGAAAAUCCUCAGAAUUUUCUUCAUUCACACCAGCUUAAUUGCCUAAAGAACAUCUGGAGAGAAGACCUGGCCACUCAUUGAAGUCCUGAGCAGUGACAACCCACAUUUCUGAAAACACUUAUCAGAUCCUCUAUCAAAACCAGGGGCAGUUGCAGCUUAAAUAUUGGGAAGGCUUAAAAAAAGCACAAUUUUUCCAGUUCCUUUCAGGACUUUGUCGCACAACCCAAAAAUGCGAAAGUGAAACAGAUCUGUUGUGCUUUUUUAAUAUAUAAAGUAGAUGACCUUUAAGGUGCACUUUCACCUGUUGUUACUUCGCAGGAAGGAUGAACAGGCUCAGAAACUGUGAGAAAUAGAGAAUAAAGGGCGAACAAAAUGGGAACAGCCACAAAGUUGGACAAGUAUCAAUAUUUACCGGGCAGGAGUUAGCACAGUGUUUGCUGCUACAGAAAACACAUUAUUUAUUCCUUGAGCAUUCAGCUGCAGCUUGCUCGCGGGACUGCCGUACUCACACGGCCACGCUGCUGCUGCUGAGAGCCCUCGGCUGGACCCAUAUACACUCGAUAGAUCUGCUGCUGCUUUUCCGAAAGGCAAGUUUAAGUGUGCCGCUUACCAGCUCUGCCUGCAGGAAAGCCGAGCUGCUGAUGAACAAGAUUAGACAGAGCAAUUUCAUACCCAGUAUUUAGCACAGCUUUAUGCGCUUUUUCAAAACAGCACCGUUCGCCCUGGAAAAGAGCAUUUUCCUUUCUUUCUUUCUUCUUUUCCUCUUGUAAGUGUUCCUGUAUCGAGAGCUGAGGGCUGAUAGGGGUUAGCACGGUGGGGUCUGAGUUUUGUGUGAGACAUCUGGCUGCCAUCGCAGUGCUCACCUCACUGCGUUACUGCGGGGAGCGAGCAAAAUCUGGAAACUGCUACUUCACUGGGCAAGAAUCUGCAUACGUUCAUGCUGUGAACACGCGAUGGGCUCUACGAGGACAGAAACAGGUGUUUACUCCUUGCUACGUGAUUUAUUUGAUCUCUUCUCUAAAUCCCCUUCUCAUGCCAGUACAUCUCCACAUAAAUCCCAUGCUAAAAUUUUAUCUACAGAAAGCAUACAUUGUAUAUGCAUUGGCUGGCUCGUGAAAUGUCCAUAAUUAAAUUUCAUGAAACCUACAUUUUUUUUAUAUAUAUAUAAGUUCAGACACUCUGAGAAAUAAAAUAGAAACAGGAGAGUUCUGGCCAACUUCUGUAGGCCUAUAGACUUAUUAGGUAUUCCAGCCCAAGGAAACCAGGAAUGU